GUGCCAGCAGCCGCGGUAAUACGAAGGGGGCUAGCGUUGCUCGGAAUUACUGGGCGUAAAGCGCACGUAGGCGGUCUUUUAAGUCGGGGGUGAAAUCCUGGAGCUCAACUCCAGAACUGCCUUCGAUACUGGAAGACUUGAGUCCGGGAGAGGUGAGUGGAACUGCGAGUGUAGAGGUGAAAUUCGUAGAUAUUCGCAAGAACACCAGUGGCGAAGGCGGCUCACUGGCCCGGUACUGACGCUGAGGUGCGAAAGCGUGGGGAGCAAACAGGAUUAGAUACCCCCGUAGUCC
This 292-nucleotide ribosomal RNA is filed under the name uncultured bacterium. RNAcentral describes it as "partial 16S ribosomal RNA". It matches the Rfam family "Bacterial small subunit ribosomal RNA", at positions 505 to 796 of the family's 1533-position model. The record is from RNAcentral.